This 289-nucleotide ribosomal RNA is filed under the name Salmonella enterica subsp. enterica serovar Javiana. RNAcentral's name for it is "partial 23S ribosomal RNA". It matches the Rfam family "Bacterial large subunit ribosomal RNA", at positions 1129 to 1423 of the family's 2925-position model. Lineage: Bacteria; Pseudomonadati; Pseudomonadota; Gammaproteobacteria; Enterobacterales; Enterobacteriaceae. The record is from RNAcentral.
AGUGCGUAACAGCUCACUGGUCAAGUGGACAUGCGCCGACAAUUCACGGGGCUAAGCAUAACACCGAAGCGGCGGACUAAUCUAUAUUAGUGGUAGGGGAGCUUUCCCCGCAGCGGAGAAGCCGAGAGGGCGACCCUCGGUGGAGCGCGGGGAAGUGAGAAUGCUGGCAUGAGUAACGAGAGCGGCGCGAGAAACGCCGCCGCCGUAAGCCUAAGGGUUCCUGGGCAAGGCUAAUCCUCCCAGGGUCAGUCGGGAGCUAAGGCGAGGCCGAGAGGCGUAGCCGAUGCGC